CCUGCCCCUGCAGUACGCGGCGCUGGCCGCCUGCUGCGCGGUGUGGGCACGCGGCGGGCUGAGCCCGUUCGGGGCGGUGGGCCUGGU
This 87-nucleotide transfer RNA is filed under the name Catellatospora methionotrophica. RNAcentral describes it as "tRNA-Ser". Lineage: Bacteria; Bacillati; Actinomycetota; Actinomycetes; Micromonosporales; Micromonosporaceae. The record is from RNAcentral.